CAGGUCACUCCUACGGGAGGCAGCAGUGGGGAAUUUUGGACAAUGGGGGCGACCCUGAUCCAGCAAUGCCGCGUGUGUGAAGAAGGCCUUCGGGUUGUAAAGCACUUUUGUCCGGAAAGAAAACCGCUUCUCUAAUACAGGGGCGGGAUGACGGUACCGGAAGAAUAAGCACCGGCUAACUACGUGCCAGCAGCCGCGGUAAUACGUAGGGUGCAAGCGUUAAUCGGAAUUACUGGGCGUAAAGCGUGCGCAGGCGGUUCGCUAAGACCGAUGUGAAAUCCCCGGGCUUAACCUGGGAACUGCAUUGGUGACUGGCGGGCUAGAGUAUGGCAGAGGGGGGUAGAAUUCCACGUGUAGCAGUGAAAUGCGUAGAGAUGUGGAGGAAUACCGAUGGCGAAGGCAGCCCCCUGGGCCAAUACUGACGCUCAUGCACGAAAGCGUGGGGAGCAAACAGGAUUAGAUACCCUGGUAGUCCACGCCCUAAACGAUGUCAACUAGUUGUCGGGUCUUCAUUGACUUGGUAACGAAGCUAACGCGUGAAGUUGACCGCCUGGGGAGUACGGUCGCAAGAUUAAAACUUAAAGGAAUUGAC
Molecule: ribosomal RNA, 592 nt
Filed under: uncultured Burkholderia sp.
Lineage: Bacteria; Pseudomonadati; Pseudomonadota; Betaproteobacteria; Burkholderiales; Burkholderiaceae
Description: bacterial SSU rRNA
Rfam family: Bacterial small subunit ribosomal RNA
Source: RNAcentral